GCUCAUGGCUCAGAAUGAACGCUAGCUACAGGCUUAACACAUGCAAGUCGAGGGGCAGCAUGGUCUUAGCUUGCUAAGGCCGAUAACGACCGGCGCACGGGUGAGUAACGCGUAUCCAACCUGCCUUACACUCUUGGACAGCCUUCUGAAAGGGAGAUUAAUACAAGAUGUUAUCAUGAGUAAGCAUUUUCGCAUGAUUAAAGGUUUACCGGUGUAAGAUGGGGAUGCGUU
RNAcentral lists this ribosomal RNA (231 nucleotides) under uncultured bacterium. Its description in RNAcentral is "partial 16S ribosomal RNA". It matches the Rfam family "Bacterial small subunit ribosomal RNA", at positions 15 to 237 of the family's 1533-position model. The record is from RNAcentral.